CAAGCAGCUGCUGCUGUUGCUGAUGCUGUAAACCAGAGACAUUACUUUGAGAGCCUAAUUGCUGUUGAUGCAUACUCAAGAGGUUAUUUUGCUGAGUCAUUAAUUGCUGCUGCUGCUGCUGCUGCUGCUGCAGAUUUUGAAUGUUAUUCUGCUGGCCGAGCAAUCUCUGCUGCUGCAUGUCUCCAAGAUUGUUUUGCUGUCCAAUUAACUGAUUUUGCUGCAUAUUGGUGACAUUUGGUUGCUGGCUCACUAAUUGUUGCUGCUGCUGCUGGGCAGGCAACAGUUGCUGCUGCAUCAUUGAUGUUUGCUGUUGAUGAAUGCUAGAAGCCUGUUGCAGCUGUUGCUGCCUGAGGACUGAUUGUGGAUGUUGUUGAAGCACGGAUUGUGUUGAUUGUUGAACAGGAGGAGGCUGACCCUGUUGAAGACCAGAAAUUACUGAUUGCAUCAUAGAUGGCUGCAUAACAGAUGAUGUUUGCAUACUUGAUUGCUGAGAAGAUUGCAACUGAGUUGGCUGUAAAAGGUUUUGCUGCUGCUGCUGUUGCUGUUGUUGGAUUUGAGAUUGCACAAGUGAAUGUGGUAAAUUUCCGUUCUGGUACUUCUGCUUCAUGAGUUGUAAUUGCUGCUGAUAAAGAUACUGCUGAGGAUUUUGGGAUUGCUGCUGCUGCUGUUGGGGAACAACCUGUUGCCUUCCUGGCAUUUGUCUCUGAGAAUUGGCAAAAAUAUUGGAGGGCACCCCUUGUCCCAUUGAAUUCCCUGCUGUGCUCUGUGGAACUCCAGAAAUAUUCUGAAUGUUAGGAUUCUGACCAACAACACUGGGGAUAGAAUUCUGUGUUAAACCAGAAACGGGGGGUAGUGCAGAUGUUAAACUGGCAGAACUUUGAAACCCAGUAGAUGUCAUAUUAUUCUGAAUGGUCUGGGAUAACAAUUGCUGACGCGUUUGAGACUGGUUCGCUUGCAUUGGGAUAGGAAGUGACUGCCCUUGAUUUUGAACUUGGGGCUGCAUACUAUGAGAUGCUCCUGGAUCAGAAGGUCUGUUGUUAUUGCCAGGUGGGUUGGGAGGCAAAGGAUUAGGCACUGGCUUUUGGGACUUGGACUCUAGUGUAAGCAUCUUCAAAGAUAUUUUCCGUAGAUAAUCCGACUGGCUUAUGGCAGCAGUGUAAAUCUUUUCUUCAAACCGAAUAGCAAUUAUCUUGAGUUCCUCUAAUCCCUCUUGUCCAGAAAAUGGAACUUGUCUUUUUAAUGUCUCCAUUAUUUUGUUGACAAUUCUAUGUCGUGAAUCAGGCUGUAAUUGAGCUCUCCAAUCACCGGUGUCAAUUGCAGGUUCUCCACCUUGGGCAUUAGGUCUCCAGUUAGUGUUCUCCAUCAGAUUCCAACCAAGAAAAAUAAACCGCUGCUAACACUUGAGAUUGGAACCCUUUUCUCGCUGAUUUGCUUGCUGUUUCUUUCGUUCGUUAUCAGGCGGACUUGAAAAUAUGCAGCAGAAGAGAACUGCAGAAGAGAGGAGAGAGAUAGCAAACGAGCGAGAGAGAGAGAAAA
Molecule: unclassified non-coding RNA, 1536 nt
Filed under: Hevea brasiliensis (rubber tree)
Lineage: Eukaryota; Viridiplantae; Streptophyta; Magnoliopsida; Malpighiales; Euphorbiaceae
Source: RNAcentral